UGCGCAGGCGGCCGUGUGUGUGAGGCGUGAAAGCCUGGAGCUCAACUCCAGAAUUGCACCUCAAACUACACGGCUAGAGCAUUGGAGAGGGUAGCAGAAUUCACGGUGUAGCAGUGAAAUGCGUAGAUAUCGUGAGGAAUACCAGAGGCGAAGGCGGCUACCUGGACAAUUGCUGACGCUCAGGCACGAAAGCGUGGGGAGCAAAAGGGAUUAGAUACCCCUGUAGUCCACGCCCUAAACGGUGCACACUAGGUCUUGGAGGAUUCGACCCCUUCAGGGCCCAAGCUAACGCGUUAAGUGUGCCGCCUGAGGACUACGGCCGCAAGGCUAAA
This 332-nucleotide ribosomal RNA is filed under the name uncultured bacterium. RNAcentral's name for it is "bacterial SSU rRNA". It matches the Rfam family "Bacterial small subunit ribosomal RNA", at positions 568 to 898 of the family's 1533-position model. The record is from RNAcentral.